AACGAACGCUGGCGGCGUGCUUAACACAUGCAAGUCGAACGCGAAAUUUUUUCUUCGGAGAAAAGAGUAGAGUGGCGCACGGGUGAGUAACGCGUAAGUUAUCUACCCUCCCAUCUGGAAUAACUCACCGAAAGGUGUGCUAAUACCGGAUACGUUGGAAACAAGAAAGGUGGCCUCUAUUUAUAAGCUACCGUGGGGGGAUGAGCUUGCGUACCAUUAGCUAGUUGGUAGGGUAAUGGCCUACCAAGGCAACGAUGGUUAGCGGGUCUGAGAGGAUGAUCCGCCACACUGGAACUGGAACACGGACCAGACUCCUACGGGAGGCAGCAGUGAGGAAUAUUGCGCAAUGGGGGAAACCCUGACGCAGCGACGCCGCGUGGAUGAUGAAGGCCUUUGGGUCGUAAAAUCCUGUCAGAUGGAAAGAAAUGCUAUAGUAUUAAUACUGCUAUAGUUUGACGGUACCAUCAAAGGAAGCACCGGCUAACUCCG
Molecule: ribosomal RNA, 489 nt
Filed under: uncultured Desulfobulbaceae bacterium
Lineage: Bacteria; Pseudomonadati; Thermodesulfobacteriota; Desulfobulbia; Desulfobulbales; Desulfobulbaceae
Description: bacterial SSU rRNA
Rfam family: Bacterial small subunit ribosomal RNA
Source: RNAcentral